RNAcentral lists this ribosomal RNA (253 nucleotides) under uncultured bacterium. RNAcentral's name for it is "partial 16S ribosomal RNA". It matches the Rfam family "Bacterial small subunit ribosomal RNA", at positions 524 to 776 of the family's 1533-position model. The record is from RNAcentral.
GACGGAGGGGGCUAGCGUUGUUCGGAAUUACUGGGCGUAAAGGGCGCGUAGGCGGCCCGUCGAGUCGGGUGUGAAAGCCCGGGGCUCAACCCCGGAACGGCACCCGAGACUGGCGGGCUCGAGACCGGGAGAGGAGGGUGGAAUACCCCGUGUAGAGGUGAAAUUCGUAGAUAUUGGGUGGAACACCGGUGGCGAAAGCUGCUCUCUGGCCCGGUUCUGACGCUGAGGCUCGAAAGCGUGGGGAGCAAACAGG